GCUUGCUGGGGGAUUAGUGGCGAACGGGUGAGUAACACGUGAGUAACCUGCCCUUGACUCUGGGAUAAGCCUGGGAAACUGGGUCUAAUACCGGAUACGACCAUCUGGCGCAUGUCAUGGUGGUGGAAAGCUUUUGUGGUUUUGGAUGGACUCGCGGCCUAUCAGCUUGUUGGUGGGGUAAUGGCCUACCAAGGCGACGACGGGUAGCCGGCCUGAGAGGGUGACCGGCCACACUGGGACUGAGACACGGCCCAGACUCCUACGGGAGGCAGCAGUGGGGAAUAUUGCACAAUGGGCGCAAGCCUGAUGCAGCGACGCCGCGUGAGGGAUGACGGCCUUCGGGUUGUAAACCUCUUUCAGUAGGGAAGAAGCGAAAGUGACGGUACCUGCAGAAGAAGCGCCGGCUAACUACGUGCCAGCAGCCGCGGUAAUACGUAGGGCGCAAGCGUUAUCCGGAAUUAUUGGGCGUAAAGAGCUCGUAGGCGGUUUGUCGCGUCUGCUGUGAAAGACCGGGGCUCAACUCCGGUUCUGCAGUGGGUACGGGCAGACUAGAGUGCAGUAGGGGAGACUGGAAUUCCUGGUGUAGCGGUGAAAUGCGCAGAUAUCAGGAGGAACACCGAUGGCGAAGGCAGGUCUCUGGGCUGUAACUGACGCUGAGG
Molecule: ribosomal RNA, 659 nt
Filed under: Paenarthrobacter nitroguajacolicus
Lineage: Bacteria; Bacillati; Actinomycetota; Actinomycetes; Micrococcales; Micrococcaceae
Description: bacterial SSU rRNA
Rfam family: Bacterial small subunit ribosomal RNA
Source: RNAcentral